AACACGACUCUUGGCAAUGGAUAUCUCAGCUCUCAUCAUGAUGAAGAAUGUAGUGAAAUGUGAUACUUAGUGUGAAUUGUAGAAUCCUAUGAAUCAUCGAGUCUUUGAAUGCAAGUUGCGCCCAAGGCUCUAGCCGAGGGCAUGUCUGCUUGGGUGUCGCAC
Molecule: ribosomal RNA, 162 nt
Filed under: Taiwania cryptomerioides
Lineage: Eukaryota; Viridiplantae; Streptophyta; Pinopsida; Cupressales; Cupressaceae
Description: 5.8S ribosomal RNA
Rfam family: 5.8S ribosomal RNA
About the family: 5.8S ribosomal RNA (5.8S rRNA) is a component of the large subunit of the eukaryotic ribosome. It is transcribed by RNA polymerase I as part of the 45S precursor that also contains 18S and 28S rRNA.
Source: RNAcentral